UGGUUGGAGGCGGUGGGUUGGUGGUGGGGAGGGUGGUGGUGAUGGUGGUUGGAGGGGGUGGGUUGGUGCAUCAAAUUUGGUUUUACGUACAAACAUCCACUUGGCUUCUAGAGACGUAUCCCCAAGUUUCACUGGGCCGUAAGGCUUAUGGUACCUACUUUGCAGCUUAAACAAAUAUAUUAAUAUGGGUAACUGCUGAUGUACGUGAAGGCCAAUGGAGAAGUGACAGAACCUUGAGCAAGAUUUAACAGCAUGUUACUUCAGCCUCAUCAGUUAAGUUACUUGUACAGUAUAUCUUAGCUAGUAUCUUUAUCCAAUAAACCACUCGACAAUGCUCCUACACUGGGCAGUGGAGGGUGUGUGUGUGGGGGGUGGGGGCGCCUAAUAGGUCUGUGUGUAGACCUAGUGAUCAGUGUGUGGGGCCUGGCGGACACUCUUGGAGGACUGUGUUGGAGGGCUAUGGAGGACGAUCUGUAGACAGACUGAUAUUAGAGUAAAAUUAAUAUUAGCUGUAGUGACAGUAUAAAUAUACAGAACUGUAUGCCUAUUGAUUAUUAGUGAAAAUUAGUAGUAGUAGUAAACAUAGUAAAUUAAGCAAGUUGUUGUGGGUGGGUUUCAACUAACUUUACUAACCAUAACCUAACCUAAGAUAAACUAUUCCAACUUACGUUAACUGAUCAUAAAUUCAUCAUGUUGUCUAGUGGUAGAUGGAUAUUGUAUGUUUAACAUUCAUUCAACAUAAAUGGCAACUUUAAACAUGUUGCAGGUGACAGCUGAUGUGUGUGAAGGCCAAUGGAGAAGUGACAGAACCUUGAGCAACAUUUAACACCCAGCAUGUUACUUCAGCCUCAUGAAACUAUAACAACAACAGAUAUAGAAGACCGGAAGCAUCAUCAAUGAUGAGGGCCUAGUUAGCUUCUCUAAGCUCAUCUUCAAGUACCUGCAUGUGAUGCAUCAGAGGGAAAUGACCAGAUUGCCGAGGAGAUUGAAAUUGAAUCAAAGCAUGUGCCUCCUGCAGUGCAAAUGGCAACUACCGUAUAUCGCGGCCUAUAAGGCCCCCCGAAAUUUCCAUUUAAAAAGUAGCUUUUGAGCUCUAUUUGCUGUAUAAGACCAGAACCCCAAAUGUGACAAUUACCCACUGACUCAGUAGUCCUUUACACACCCUCCUUGGUUUUUUAAAAUAAGG
Molecule: long non-coding RNA, 1186 nt
Organism: Homarus americanus (American lobster)
Lineage: Eukaryota; Metazoa; Arthropoda; Malacostraca; Decapoda; Nephropidae
Exons: 3
Source: RefSeq, a predicted model, not a curated record